CAGGCCUAACACAUGCAAGUCGAGCGGAUGAUGGGAGCUUGCUCCCGGAUUCAGCGGCGGACGGGUGAGUAAUGCCUAGGAAUCUGCCUGGUAGUGGGGGACAACGUUUCGAAAGGAACGCUAAUACCGCAUACGUCCUACGGGAGAAAGCAGGGGACCUUCGGGCCUUGCGCUAUCAGAUGAGCCUAGGUCGGAUUAGCUAGUUGGUGGGGUAAAGGCCUACCAAGGCGACGAUCCGUAACUGGUCUGAGAGGAUGAUCAGUCACACUGGAACUGAGACACGGUCCAGACUCCUACGGGAGGCAGCAGUGGGGAAUAUUGGACAAUGGGCGAAAGCCUGAUCCAGCCAUGCCGCGUGUGUGAAGAAGGUCUUCGGAUUGUAAAGCACUUUAAGUUGGGAGGAAGGGCAGUAAGUUAAUACCUUGCUGUUUUGAC
This 435-nucleotide ribosomal RNA is filed under the name uncultured bacterium. Its description in RNAcentral is "bacterial SSU rRNA". It matches the Rfam family "Bacterial small subunit ribosomal RNA", at positions 43 to 473 of the family's 1533-position model. The record is from RNAcentral.